Molecule: long non-coding RNA, 8258 nt
Organism: Acinonyx jubatus (cheetah)
Lineage: Eukaryota; Metazoa; Chordata; Mammalia; Carnivora; Felidae
Exons: 2
Source: RefSeq, a predicted model, not a curated record
UGUUGAAUGUUUGUAACAUGGAUAAAUGAGUGAAUAAAUGGUCCACUCUGGAGUUAUAGGAGGAGAAUUAUGCUAUGUUUGCUCAACACAGUAUUGUAUAGGAUUCCCACAUCAAAUGGAAAAACCACUUUUGAGGUGCUUACAAAUCCACAGUAAAUAUCCUAUUUGAGUUAAAUACAUCCAUUCAAUACUGUCCACCUCUCCAACCUCUCACUUUACAUCUCAGUAUUCAUGUGCCAGUCUUUUGUGGCUUCUUUCUCCUUGCUAUGCUUCUAUGCUCUACAGGGCAUUUGCACCUGCUGAUCCUCUAUUUAGAAAUCUUGUCCUUUUCUUCCUUACCAUGUUAAUUUCAUCUUAUCCUCAGAUCUCCCACCCUAGUGUUCACUUCCUUAGGGAAGGCCUUUCUCACCUCCUUUACCGCUACUAAUGAAAAUAGUAAGAGUGGAGGUAAUAGUAGCUAGCAUACUAUAUGACAGGCACUGUUAUGAACAUUUACACUGAUUAUCUCAUAUAAUCCCCCACAGCAAUCCUCUGAGACAGGGACCAGCAUUAACUCCAUUUAAAAAUAAGGAAAAGAAGCCCAGAGAAAUUAGGCAGUUUAUCUAAGCUAACAUAGCUAAAGCAUACUGAGCUUUAUCUUCUUCUUCUUCACAGUAUCUUCUUCAUAGUUCCUAUCACAGGUACAAUUUGCCCUUCAUCCACGCAAAUUGUUGAUUGAUAUUUUUGUAACCCAGAAUACUGAAAGCUCACUAAGGUACCUAUAUCCCUAGCUCCUUAUAUAACGCCAGAGGAAGUUUAGAUAAUCAAUAAAUAUUUGCUGGAGGAAUGUAUUGUUUGGUUUGAUCCAAUAUUUCAGGCUAGUAUUGAUAGGGAAUGCUCCUGUUUCUCUGUAACCGUCAGAAGGGAAUUUGAACAGCACAUGUUAGCAUGCAAUCUUUGAAUUAGACUUCUAUUUCUCACCGUGCCCUCUAUAAUGAUAGAGAGAGACUAUGUGUGACGACAUAGGGACAGAUGAUCUCACAAAGACAUCCCUACUAACCACACACCCCUCUGGCCACAAAGUAUGUGAUUUCAGUCCCAGCAGCCUAAUAUCUGGUUAGUGAUGGAGCACGUUGCUGCACAUAAUCCUGAAACAAUAUAUUUUGUCAUUUUAAAAAAUGUUCUGCAACAUGUUUUCCUUUUGGCCCAGUGGCAAUGUUAUAUCAUCCUCCAGGAAUGUUGCUUUUGUAUCCAAGGGCAAAUUUGGCCUAGAGAAAUGUUAUCAGUGGUUCACCAGAGGUUUAAUUGUAUGCUUUGAAUGGCAGAAGAGGGGAAAUCCUAAAAAUUCAGGUUAAACCUAUUAAGCUGAACAUCCUGGUUUGGGUUGGCUGCCAAAAUACACUGUGAUAAGAGUUUCAAAAGCUAAUAACAGAGGGGAUUAAAUUGGUGUCCAUUACAGAUUUGUGGAAAGCUUUUUCUUUGCAUUAAGACUUAAUAUCUGAACUGAGUAAGGUUUUCACCCUUUAAUUUUUUGCUUCAUUUGCCUAUAGUUGUCACUUUGGCCCAUGGAUCCAAUUUUCUUCAUAGUGUCUUGCCAUCAUUUCUUCAUCAGAAAAUAUGGUGAAAAUUCGAAGUAGCAGACUCUUCUUAAGAGCCUUCAUUUCCAUAUGGGAAGCAAUGGAAUGGGGAAAACAGGACACCAAAUAAACCAUGUUUAAAGUUAUAAAUUAUUCAUGGGUUACAGUUUUCCUUGAAAAUGAGAUGUUGCUUCUUAAUUCCUCAUUGACAAAUCUCUUUGGGGGCUGUGUCUCUACCUAUCUAUUGUGUCUAAGUUCUGUGGCCAGUGAAGUGGAUGCUUUGCCAAAUUGUGUAGGGCGUCUAGCCCAAACAUUUUCCUGUAAUGUACAAUUAAUUUGGGAGAGUUUUGUUUCCCUUUGCACUUUGCUAUGAAUCUUUAAAAGCCUACAGUAUAACACAGGCUCACCUAAUUGCAGAAGUGUUGGAAACUUAACCAUGUUCUCUGAACUUUGAAUAAUUUUCUAGGCAACAGUCUCUGCACACAAAAUAAGUGAACUAGCACAUUUUAAGGGACAUCAAUGGCUUGAAAUCAGAAGAUCUGGGGUCUGUUCCUUAUGUUGACAAAUGUUUUGGACAAUCUUGGGCUAAUCACUCAUCUCCUGUUUCUAAAGUAUGGUGUAUAAUCCCUAAGCUGCCUUCCUGCCAGUGCUGAGUUGAAGCAAUUAAUGUCAUUGAUUUCCAACUUUCUUGCCACCAAGAGUCAUUUUAUUAGCUCCUCCCUCAGUACUGUCAUUGAUGUCAUGGAAAGACUUUUUUCCCUUACCUUAUAUACUGUAUUUUAAAAACUAAUAACUGAUUUCCUAUUUUAAUGAAUGAAAGGCAUAUUUCACUAGAAUUCUAGUAAGAACCCAGAGGACCUUGAUGUUUUAAUUAGACUAUAAAAUAUUUCUCAAGUAAUGGUAUGGUUUCCAUUUAAUGUGGUUAAACAGACUAACAUUCAAAUAACUAAACAAUUCAUAGAUACCCCUGUGAUUUCAGGGUCUCCAUAUUGAGAAUGGCUAAGUAGAGAGCAGUGAGCCUUUGUCAAUGAGUGCAGAGUUUCUUUAAAUUCUCAAUUUUGAACAUAAGUGCAUUUUUAAUUAUUUCAGUCCUAGAGGUGAGGAAAAAUGUCACUAGGAUGAGGUGUGGAGACAAAAUGGUAAAGUCAUUCAGGUGGAAUAGUCAGUCACACAAUAUUGUCAGAAGCUUCCAGUGCUACUUGUUACCUACCAUGUGACAUCUGUGAUCAUGACAAGACCACCAGAUCUGUCAGAGCCUAGCCAUGAAGUUAUGAGAUCUUUCUGUAAGGGAUAUAAUGUCAGAGACUAUUUUUUUCAGCACUCUGAUGUUGUAGGAAAAGUCUGUGAUUAAAUUCUGACUCCAUCAACUUUCGGCUGUGUGAAUUUGAAUGAGCUAUAUAAGCUGUCUCUACCUCAGUUUCCCAGCUGUAAAAUGGGAGUAACUACCUCAUAGAAUUAAAGUCAGGUAAUAAAUGUUGAAAAUCUGCCAUAUCAUAGACAUGUAACAGACAUUCUGUCUUUACGCCAUUCUUACUAAUACAUUACAUGGGACAGACCAGGCUGUUAGUCACAGAUCCUUCUUUCUAGGCUUUACAGUACAAUUAUAACCUACCAAAGAGGUGAUGAAGGCUUUGACAAUCCACUUGGAGUAGCUGUCAAUGACUAAGUCUCCAAAUAGCUGAAACAAGUUUAUCAAAUAAUCAAGGUGGCUGUCAUUCCCUCCCCUUUUAGAGUUUCUUAUAAUACAUAUACUUCAAUGAAAACUUUGGCAAGCAUUCGGAAGCUUUUAGACCUCAGAAGGGCCAGGGCUGAUCGCCAUCACUCAUAGUAAGCUCCAAUCCUCCUCCAGCCCUACUUUUGUUGCUCUUCAGGGCAGGAAGAGAAGUGUGUCAUAUGCUGGGCUCAGCUACGUCCAGGCCCAUCUUUAGAGCAAGUCUCCACCAAGAGACACUGAAUCUGGGGAUCUCCCAUUCACAAAGCUAAAGGAUGGACAUUUUACGACAAUGCUGGUUAGAUGCCAGACAAACAGAAACAAAAAAUAAGCACAAGGUUUCUUAGACAAACAAGCCUUGUCUGGUGAGCAUGUGGCUCGACACAGAAACAAGUGUCCUCCUUGUCCCUUCGAUGGAGGGAGCAGCUUCAGUGCCAUCGGCUCUGCAGAAACCUCACUGACUCAGAAAACGGAAGAAUGUGGCCAGCAAGAAACACAUUUUCAACAAGCUGAGCAAACAUGGCUUUGACGUCAGGGAGGGAGUAUAUACAUGGGUAACAAAGGAGACGUGCACACAUGGGGAUUUUUGUGGUACCUGGGCGGCUGCCCAGAGCACUAAAUCCUGGAGUUGAGAAUCCCUUUGAAGACCCUUCACAACGCUUGGGAAUUUCAAAGAAUAUCAUCAUAACUCAAAAAACCCUCCAAAUGUCAUUUUACCUUGUUCUUCUGCCUCCCCGUUGUGCUGGCUGUCCCCAGUGACAGAAUGCAGCCCAGCCAUUGCCUGAGGGAGGGGGUGGGUUGCCACAGAUGUGCACAUCUGGAUCACCUGCUGCUAACCCAUCAGGCCCCAGCUUCCCUGUGGCUUUGGCUUCCACAUGACAUUUCUGGGGGGUGGCCUCUUCUCUGAGGUAACUGAAUCUGUUAGAAUGAGGGUUUUAACUAUUGAUUAAAACAUUAAACAUUAAAACAUUCCAUAAUAUUCAGGCUGACCAGUAAACUACAUUUGGGGGGAUGGAAUCUUCCUUGUUUCCUCAUAUGGGAAAAGCAACUCUUGGAUUGUAGUCCUUAUAAUGUAUUUGAAAGUGGAGAAUCCUUAGCAGGGGGUGUUGGGAGAUCUAAAGGAGUCUUUCCACAUUCUCCUAUUAUAUAAGUAAUUUCAGCAAAAGGCAAUUUUGAUUCUCACUCUAAUUCUACCUUCCCUCUGUGGGUUUUCCACACAGUUCCUCUAAAUACAAAGGGAAAUCCAAUAUCUACAUGGUGACUUUCAACCCUGUCCUGCCGUAUUGGGUUCCCUUGUUUUUAAUCAUUAAAUAGUGAGUAUACAAUGACACUGCACAUCUGUUUCUGGUCUGGGAAGAUCAGUAAGGAUGGGGUGAUUGAGAGCUACAUUAGGUGAAGCAAUUACAAAGAAAUGUUAAAAAGUGGAAGUGUACCAUUUCCCCCAUUUUAUCUAAUACAUCCAACAUCUGGGACAGGAUGACGUGAAGCUCAGUUGAUGUAGUAGAGUGGGGGUGGUGACUUUUGGUGGUGCAUUAAAGUUGAGCAAAUGGUACACUCUGCAAUAACCUAGCUGUAAAGAUCGCCUGCUGGGAGAGGUGUCUAUGAGUGAUGGCAAAACCCAUUGGAAUUUGAUGGCUGAGUUUGCCCCUGUGUGACUUUGAAUAUGUGAUUGCUUCUUUACGUUUUGUCUUUUAAAACAAUCUGGCAUUUAAUUACAAUUUGGCAUUCCCCUUUGAUGAUUUUCCUUUAUAUGGGCUUCCGCCUAUCUAAAAGGGUCUAGGUAAUGUUUUAAAGCACCAGACUUAUUUCCAACAAGUAGCUUAAGCACGAGCAGAAACUGGCAUAUUAAUAUUAAACCCAAUGGAAAUGCAAUUUUUUAGUUUGAAGAAUAAACAUAUGUUGGGAAUUGCAUAAGUCAAAGUCCUCCAAGCAAGGUUAAGUUGCUCUUUAAUACAUUGAGUGUACAUAUUUAGAAGUCUGGGGAUUUACAAUCCGCGAGAGGACUAUAACUUUCUCUUUUUCUGAUUUGGUGUGUGUAAAUUUGUAGUGCAAGUGUUUCAUUUCUCUAGACAUUUGCAUUUAAUUUGCUGCUGAUUUUAAUGUGAAAAAAGGAAAAAAAAUUUAAGGUAAGGAAAUCAUGUUCCAGGAUGAAUGCAUUACGUUUUGAGGACUAUGCUGAGUUUUUUCAGUUGUGUGUUGUAACAAAGCUGUAACCUCAGGGAAGUAUAUGUAACACCCUGCUCAGAACAUCUAGUUUGACCUUAAAGUAUUUCCAAAGAUUCCAAAUAGUCAAAGAGCCCCAUGCUGCCUUAAAACAUAAUACUCCAUCUCGAUCUAUACCUUCUUUCAUUUUUUAGAAGUACAGUCUGCCAUUUUCAACCUUAGUUCUUAUGAUCCUUUUUCUAGAUCACAGCUGGCUUCCCCUUGUGAUAAGAAUGGCAACAUGUAUAAUUUUUCCUUUGGUCUCUCACUUGUCUCUUUUGUACUGUUUUCCUUUUUUUUUUUUUUUUAACUCACCACUUCGAGAAACUUAAAGAGGGAGGGAAAACAAAUAAUUAGAAGAAAGUGGUGUAAUGCUGAAAUGACAUUUAGGUUUGGGGGACUUACAGACUGCCUUUGGGAAAACCUGGAAAUCCUUAUACAUUCAAGAGUUGACUCCAGAAAGAUUUUUUAGCUAUUAGAACCAGUCCCUUGGAGAUGGGUCUGGCAGUGACCCAAAGACAGAAAUCAUAGAACUUGUGGCAUCUUCUCUAGUUUAAGGCAGCACACACGGUGGAAGUCAGACCUGCAGUCUGUCAGGUUGUGCUAGUGUAGGGAUUCAGGAUGUGGCCACUCUGGGCUUCACUAAUCAGACACGCUGCACACAGGACAGCCUAUCAUGGGGUGAGGAUAAAAAUAGAGAGAAAAAGGACACAUUUCUGUUGUUGCUGUUUACAGAACCCAAUUCCUUGGUCUUCAAAGGUCUUAGCCUCAUAAAGCUGUAGGUUGUUGUUUUUCAUUUAAUCCCCCAGAAGAAUGUGGAGGGGGAAAUAUUACAAACACCCUCUGCUUUGGCAUUGUUUGAUUUUUUUAAAAAAAAUUAAUAAAAACAGUUCCUAGCAGCUGGUUGAAACAAUUAUGCUCUUCACAAAAGCCUUUGCAGAUGACACCGAAUGUUAAGAAAAUAAUUCUUUCAAUUAGUGUGUGGCCAGUGCACCUGUGAACUAGAAUCAUCCAAGGAACCAUAUCCGCGAAUGUCAGUAAGAACAAUUCAGGAAUUCAUCCCCUCUGCCUUUUUCUAUGUCCACGUUCACACAGAUGUUAAUCCUGUGGUGCAGAUGCUGUAAGGGCCGCCCACCUCUAAUCCCAGGAGCAUGAGAAUCAUGAGUUCAGAUCAGGAAAACUAUUAAUUUCUAACUGUCUGCUAUCAGUAUCACUUCUCCUUGUUUUUAGGGCUGCUUCUUUUUUAUGUCUUUCUGAAACUGUAACACGUAAUCCAUUGGUUCUUGUGCAGAGUUGGCUUUUGGGUACAGUGGCAAUUUACCACGAUCUUAUUCCUCAAAAACAUUUAUUGAACACCCCAUGUGCGCAGCAUUGUGUUUGGUUGUAGGGAUAUAAACGUGAAUAAGACCUAACUUCUGUCUUGGAAAUGCUUAUCAUUUUGCUUCAAUCAGCUGUAGUUCUAUGUUAUAUCAUAUCACUGUCCUGUGUUUUUCAGGGUUCCUUUUUGGUCUGUGGGAGUAAACGGGAGUUUUGCCUUGUGUAUUAAUUAUUGAAUUGCUAGGUAACAAACCAUCUCCAAAUUAAUGGCUUAAAACAACUAUGAUUUCUUAGUGCUCACGAGUAUAUUAUGGAUGGGCUUGAGCAUUGUGCUGACCUGGCCAGCUCGGACGAACUUGGCAGGGCUUACACUGUCAUCUGUCAUCAGCUGAUGGUUCAGUGGGGACUGACGCAGUCUAGGGUGGUCUCACUUCCACGCCCAGUGAUUGGCUGGCUCUUGGUUGGAGUGAUGGGGUUGACUGGGCCACAUUGUCUCUCAUCAUCUGGAGAGCUAGCCCAGGCUCAUGUGAAGAGUGAUGACAGGUUUCCAAGGAAGCCAGCAGCAGCAUGCAAGACUGCUGAGGACUUAGGCUGACAAAUGGUACAAAGUCCCUUCCUCUGUAUUCUGUUGGCCAAAACAAGUCAUAAGGCCAUUUCAGAUUCAAGAGCUGGAAAGUCACAUAAUAAAGAGUAUGGAUGCGGGACAGAGUGAAGAAUUGGACCUAUUUUUGCAACCACAUCCUUUUUAUUCUUUAUGAUGGUCUAGAAAGCAACCUGUCAUAUCCUUACACCUUAUUGAAUUAUAUGAACCUUGCCCAUGAAUCAGUUUGUCUCUGACAGUAACCUGGAUCUACCUUAAUGUGUAUGCAUCAUCAUCUCUAAGGCAAUAUUAUAGAUUAGGAAAAAAUCUGUGUUAAAAAAGAGGGUGAAGGACACGUUGCAGAAAAAUUUCUCAAAUCUUUCAAUAUGUUUGUGUGCCUGUGAAUGGUUUUUGCAUUUCCUAAUCUUAUUUGAUCGUAUCUUCAAGGGGUCGCGUGUGAUCCAAGGAUCAGUUGGCGGAAAAUGGUGUUUCAAGUUGUGUUUCCAGUCUUGGGCAUUCACCUAUGAAGUGCAAGCUGUGGCAAGAAUCAACCUUCUAGAUCAAAGGGAUAUAAUGACAAAAGAAAAGGACGAAGUAUCCCCAGAGUAAGAAAUUCCAGACCAAAAUCAAGGCUGGACAGCUUCAUGGAUUAGCAUCUAUUAGAUGUUUCAUACCUGGAGCUUAUACCGUAAAGUAGCAUGGUCAACACACCAGCUCUUACACUAGCAUAAGGACUACACCUGCAUACUCUUGAUUUACUUUAAUGUUUUCUUUCCUACCCCAAGACUGGAAAAAGCACCAGUUUUGAGAUUGUGUCUGAUUUUUCAUCCCUUGUGUGUUCCUACAGCUUUUUCCUUCUAUGAGUCUUUAAUAAAAUGGCUGAACACAUUUA